Molecule: ribosomal RNA, 497 nt
Filed under: uncultured bacterium
Lineage: Bacteria
Description: partial 16S ribosomal RNA
Rfam family: Bacterial small subunit ribosomal RNA
Source: RNAcentral
GAUGAACGCUGGCGGCGUGCCUAAUACAUGCAAGUCGAGCGAACAGAUAAGGAGCUUGCUCCUUUGACGUUAGCGGCGGACGGGUGAGUAACACGUGGGUAACCUACCUAUAAGACUGGAAUAACUCCGGGAAACCGGGGCUAAUGCCGGAUAACAUUUAGAACCGCAUGGUUCUAAAGUGAAAGAUGGUUUUGCUAUCACUUAUAGAUGGACCCGCGCCGUAUUAGCUAGUUGGUAAGGUAACGGCUUACCAAGGCAACGAUACGUAGCCGACCUGAGAGGGUGAUCGGCCACACUGGAACUGAGACACGGUCCAGACUCCUACGGGAGGCAGCAGUAGGGAAUCUUCCGCAAUGGGCGAAAGCCUGACGGAGCAACGCCGCGUGAGUGAUGAAGGUCUUCGGAUCGUAAAACUCUGUUAUUAGGGAAGGACAAAUGUGUAAGUAACUGUGCACGUCUUGACGGUACCUAAUCAGAAAGCCACGGCUAACUACGUG